RNAcentral lists this ribosomal RNA (483 nucleotides) under uncultured bacterium. RNAcentral describes it as "partial 16S ribosomal RNA". It matches the Rfam family "Bacterial small subunit ribosomal RNA", at positions 30 to 506 of the family's 1533-position model. The record is from RNAcentral.
AUUGAACGCUGGCGGCAGGCCUAACACAUGCAAGUCGAGCGGAUGAAGGGAGCUUGUUCCUGGCUUCAGCGGCGGACGGGUGAGUAAUGCCUAGGAAUCUGCCCGGCAGUGGGGGAUAACGUCCGGAAACGGGCGCUAAUACCGCAUACGUCCUGAGGGUGAAAGUGGGGGAUCUUCGGACCUCACGCUACCAGAUGAGCCUAGGUCGGAUUAGCUAGUUGGUGGGGUAAAGGCCUACCAAGGCGACGUUCCGUAACUGGUCUGAGAGGAUGAUCAGUCACACUGGAACUGAGACACGGUCCAGACUCCUACGGGAGGCAGCAGUGGGGAAUAUUGGACAAUGGGCGAAAGCCUGAUCCAGCCAUGCCGCGUGUGUGAAGAAGGUCUUCGGAUUGUAAAGCACUUUAAGUUGGGAGGAAGGGCAGUAAGUUAAUACCUUGCUGUUUUGACGUUACCAACAGAAUAAGCACCGGCUAACUUCGU